CCUACGGGGGGCUGCAGUGGGGAAUUUUCCGCAAUGGGCGAAAGCCUGACGGAGCAACGCCGCGUGAGGGAUGAAGGCCUCUGGGCUGUAAACCUCUUUUAUCAAGGAAGAAGAUCUGACGGUACUUGAUGAAUAAGCCACGGCUAAUUCCGUGCCAGCAGCCGCGGUAAUACGGGAGUGGCAAGCGUUAUCCGGAAUUAUUGGGCGUAAAGCGUCCGCAGGCGGCCCUUCAAGUCUGCUGUUAAAAAGUGGAGCUUAACUCCAUCAUGGCAGUGGAAACUGUUGGGCUUGAGUGUGGUAGGGGCAGAGGGAAUUCCCGGUGUAGCGGUGAAAUGCGUAGAUAUCGGGAAGAACACCAGUGGCGAAGGCGCUCUGCUGGGCCAUCACUGACGCUCAUGGACGAAAGCCAGGGGAGCGAAAGGGAUUAGAUACCCUGGUAGUC
Molecule: ribosomal RNA, 442 nt
Filed under: Pectobacterium carotovorum
Lineage: Bacteria; Pseudomonadati; Pseudomonadota; Gammaproteobacteria; Enterobacterales; Pectobacteriaceae
Also listed under: 1 other name
Description: bacterial SSU rRNA
Rfam family: Bacterial small subunit ribosomal RNA
Source: RNAcentral